Notothenia coriiceps (black rockcod) is the source of this 584-nucleotide long non-coding RNA. RefSeq lists it as uncharacterized. The record is from RefSeq and is a predicted model, not a curated record. The transcript is spliced from 2 exons. NCBI's taxonomy places the organism in Eukaryota, Metazoa, Chordata, Actinopteri, Perciformes, Nototheniidae.
UUUAUUUAAAAAAUCAUGAUAAAGAAAGAUGAAUUUCAGGUGUUAUAGGUUCCGGUGAAGUAUACAGCGUCGGAUUUUUUUAUCAUAUUUAAAUGUAAAGAUCAACAUUGCUCUGCCACAGCCAAAGAACUAAACCACAGAAGAAGAAAAUAGACUUUAGCAUUAAGAUACUCAGUGAGGAUCAGGAUAAUAUCAGCCUGAUGUCUGCAGCUCAGAGUCAACACAACUCUCACAUAUUAAUCUCAGCACAGAAGUAAAAGAUGGAGAACUGACCUGAGAUCCUCCAGUCUGCAGUCUGGACUCUUCAGAUAAUCACUCAGCAGCUUCACUCCUGAAUCCUGCACAUCGUAGACACCCAGUUCCAGAUAUCUCAGAUGGGAGGGGUUGGACUUCAGAGCUGAGGCCAGAGAAGCCCAGCUGAUGUCUGACAACCUGCAGCGCUCCAGUCUGAAUAAAGAAUACAUGAUAUAAGUUUAGAAAACAACGUUCCUGCUUAAAAUAUUAAAGGUUUAAUAAUCUGUUUAUAGCUGGAUAAGUAGAGAAUGUAGAAGUGUAUAAAGUGGAAACUCCAAACAGGUUAAAAA